CAGUGACAAGGACCACGCUGGAGAAGCAGGGCACGUGCAUGCGCAUACCAUAUAGCUAGACGAUGUUCUCUCUCGCUCCGCUCGACCAAGCUUCAUGUAUGGAUGGGUACGCACGCACGUGUUCUCCUUCUCCAUCGAGGUCUUUCUCACUU
Molecule: microRNA precursor, 152 nt
Filed under: Zea mays
Lineage: Eukaryota; Viridiplantae; Streptophyta; Magnoliopsida; Poales; Poaceae
Description: miR164a stem-loop (zma-MIR164a)
Gene: zma-MIR164a
Rfam family: MIR164 microRNA precursor family (bases 9-144)
Source: miRBase by way of RNAcentral